RNAcentral lists this ribosomal RNA (463 nucleotides) under Vreelandella stevensii. Its description in RNAcentral is "partial 16S ribosomal RNA". It matches the Rfam family "Bacterial small subunit ribosomal RNA", at positions 338 to 795 of the family's 1533-position model. The record is from RNAcentral. Lineage: Bacteria; Pseudomonadati; Pseudomonadota; Gammaproteobacteria; Oceanospirillales; Halomonadaceae.
CCUACGGGGGGCAGCAGUGGGGAAUAUUGGACAAUGGGCGAAAGCCUGAUCCAGCCAUGCCGCGUGUGUGAAGAAGGCCUUCGGGUUGUAAAGCACUUUCAGUGGGGAAGAAAGCCUUGGGGCUAAUACCCUCGAGGAAGGACAUCACCCACAGAAGAAGCACCGGCUAACUCCGUGCCAGCAGCCGCGGUAAUACGGAGGGUGCGAGCGUUAAUCGGAAUUACUGGGCGUAAAGCGCGCGUAGGCGGUCUGAUAAGCCGGUUGUGAAAGCCCCGGGCUCAACCUGGGAACGGCAUCCGGAACUGUCAGGCUAGAGUGCAGGAGAGGAAGGUAGAAUUCCCGGUGUAGCGGUGAAAUGCGUAGAGAUCGGGAGGAAUACCAGUGGCGAAGGCGGCCUUCUGGACUGACACUGACGCUGAGGUGCGAAAGCGUGGGUAGCAAACAGGAUUAAUACCCCAUAGUC